CACUCCGCGGCGCCCGAAGCCCCACGGGAGGGCUGCUCUGGGCCCAGGGCCUCGCUAAGGGGGCGAAUCCCCGAAGGCACAGGCUGUGCGCCCCGACCUCGCACCCCAGCCUCGAGCUUCCUCCCUGAGCGCGUGCCAGCGAGCCAGCGGACCAACCAACGGGUUCGCCUACUUGUCCACCAGGGUUUUUCAACCCGGGCACCUUUGACGGUUGCGGGGGGCUGAUUCCCCGCGGGGGGGCUGUCCUCCACGCUGUUGGAGGCUGAGCAGCAUCUCUGGCCUCCCCCGCUAGAUGCCCGGAGCACCGCCUUCCCAGCGGGAGGACCGCAAAGCCUUCCCGACCUUGCUUCCCGCGGCUGGAGGGGGAAGGAGAGCAUCACCCUGGUGGAGACUCUUGAAUAUUGACUUCCCGGGAAUUCCAUAAAAUUUGUAUCUUAAAAAGUAUCGUGACAAGGAUCUAAUUCAGUCACAAAAGCAAAGAAAAAAUAAAAAGGAACUCAUCUUUCUGCCUGAGUGGAGCCUUAUUCAUGCAGUUAGUCUGCAGGUCUGUUGCUCAACACCAGCUGGAGUGAACACUGGACACGAUCGUCUUAAUGAGGGAACUUCUGAUGCAAAUGAAAAGCAUAUGCUUGCGGGGAAAAUAGCCUGGAAAAAUAUGGAGCCUGUGGAGGGAUUCCAUCAGAGUAAGGCUCUUGGCCUUUCCCACCUUCACUUCCAUGGGAAGACUUGUCACACCUCCCUGGACAGCUUGAGAGAAGGAUUGACAUGCUCCGAUCAGGCUCUUCUGGACACCCUUCAAGGACUACCUGUCCACAGAGUGAGCUAACAGGAUGAAGUCCAAGUUUUUCAUCCCUGAGGCAUUGUGAAAGGCCCCACACCAUCUGCUCCCCAGCUACUUUUGAACAUUUUACCUCCUGCCAUGUUCAAUAGGAAUCCUCUGUUUCCAGAAAGCCAUCCCUCUGACUCCCAGCCUCGAUGUUUUGUUCAUCAUCUUCUCUUACCACCUUUACCAUAUUGAAAGUGUUCUCCCUGCUUCUUUCUUUUUGAGAAAUCUCAACUUACCUCAUCAGUUACUUUAAAAAUGGGUUUUGAAGACCAUCCUUGCAGUUUUCUGAACAUAUCUGUCCAUUUUCAUUCCACUAUGUUGUAAGAAAAAUAGUGAUGAGUUGCCACAGGAAAUGAGAGGAAGGGCAGAUCAUCUCAAGAUGGGGCUGUCAGGGAAGGCUCUCUAGAAAGUAUGCACAUGUAUUGGGCCAUAAAGGCAGAUAAGAUUUAGAUAUAUGGAGAUGGUCAAGAUAGGGGAUAAGAAAUCUACAAGGAAGAGACAAAAUUAUCAGCAAGGAAAUUACUCACACAUUUGGGAAUUGUUGAAUGGUUGAGCCAAGCACAAGCUGAGUUUUAUUUUCUUAACUCUUAAAAUAUGUGUUGUCUGUUCCACUUACUUUUUUAUGUAACUGAUUACCUUUGUCUCUAUCAUAUCAUCUCUCUAUAUAUGCCACAUCAUUUAAGUUAUCUCUCAAUCUACCUACUGGAAUGGUUUAUGUACA
Vulpes vulpes (red fox) is the source of this 1547-nucleotide long non-coding RNA. NCBI's taxonomy places the organism in Eukaryota, Metazoa, Chordata, Mammalia, Carnivora, Canidae. The record is from Ensembl.